This 253-nucleotide ribosomal RNA is filed under the name uncultured bacterium. Its description in RNAcentral is "partial 16S ribosomal RNA". It matches the Rfam family "Bacterial small subunit ribosomal RNA", at positions 524 to 776 of the family's 1533-position model. The record is from RNAcentral.
UACGGGGGGGGUAAGCGUUGUCCGGAAUUAUUGGGCGUAAAGAGCUCGUAGGCGGUCUGUCGCGUCUGCUGUGAAAACUCAGGGCUUAACCCUGAGCUUGCAGUGGGUACGGGCAGACUAGAGUGCGGUAGGGGAGACUGGAAUUCCUGGUGUAGCGGUGAAAUGCGCAGAUAUCAGGAGGAACACCGGUGGCGAAGGCGGGUCUCUGGGACGUUACUGACGCUGAGACGCGAAAGCGUGGGGAGCAAACAGG